RNAcentral lists this transfer RNA (76 nucleotides) under Pectobacterium phage DU_PP_V. Its description in RNAcentral is "tRNA-Glu". It matches the Rfam family "tRNA". From Rfam's summary of the family: Transfer RNA (tRNA) molecules are approximately 80 nucleotides in length. Their secondary structure includes four short double-helical elements and three loops (D, anti-codon, and T loops). The record is from RNAcentral. Lineage: Duplodnaviria; Heunggongvirae; Uroviricota; Caudoviricetes; Demerecviridae.
GCACCCAUCGUCUAAUAGGUUAGGACAUUAUCCUUUCAAGGUAAGAAUACGGAUUCGAGUUCCGUUGGGUGUACCA